UACGGAGGAUGCGAGCGUUAUCCGGAUUCAUUGGGUUUAAAGGGUGCGCAGGCGGACUGAUAAGUCAGUGGUGAAAUCCCAUAGCUCAACUAUGGAACUGCCAUUGAUACUGUUAGACUAGAGUGUAUUUGACGUAGGCGGAAUGCGACAUGUAGCGGUGAAAUGCUUAGAUAUGUCGCAGAACACCGAUUGCGAAGGCAGCUUACGAAACUACAACUGACGCUCAUGCACGAAAGCGUGGGGAUCGAACAGG
This 253-nucleotide ribosomal RNA is filed under the name uncultured bacterium. RNAcentral describes it as "partial 16S ribosomal RNA". It matches the Rfam family "Bacterial small subunit ribosomal RNA", at positions 524 to 776 of the family's 1533-position model. The record is from RNAcentral.